AUGAGGUUUUGGUCAUUCUGGGGGAUCUUCCCAGAUUUUUCAGGCUCCAGGAGGAUGACAAUUCCAUCCUCCCUGUUCACAGCCCUGGGACAAAGUGACACAGGGGACGGCUCUGUCCCCACGCGGUGGCCGAAGGACACCCGGCUGCUCCUGGAGGGGGGAAAGGGAGAGGAAAUCUGGGUGAGGAGCAGGGAGAGGGAAUUGGGAAUGUGGGACUUGGAGAUCGGGCAGGAGAGGGUGGAGGGAACUCCUGGACACACACAGAGCCCCCAGGGGUGUCACAGAGAGCCCCAGGGGUGUCACACAGUGUCCCUCAGGGGUGUCACACAGAGUCCCCCAAGGGUGUCACAGAAUGUCCCUCAGGGGUGUCACACAGGGUCCUCAAGGAUGUCGCACAGAGUCCCCAAGGAUGUCGCACACUGUCCCCAAGGGGUGUCACAAGCUGUCCCUCAGGGGUGUCGCACAGGGUCCUCAAGGAUGCCACACACUGUCCCCAAGGGGUGUCACACAGAGUCCCCAGGGAUGUCACACAGAGUCCCCCAAGGGUGUCAAACAAAGUCCCCAGGGGUGUCACACAGAGUCCCCCAAGGGUGUCACAGAAUGUCCCUCAGGGGUGUCACACAGGGUCCUCAAGGAUGUCGCACAGAGUCCCCAAGGAUGUCGCACACUGUCCCCAAGGGGUGUCACAAGCUGUCCCUCAGGGGUGUCGCACAGGGUCCUCAAGGAUGCCACACACUGUCCCCAAGGGGUGUCACACAGAGUCCCCAGGGAUGUCACACAGAGUCCCCCAAGGGUGUCAAACAAAGUCCCCAGGGGUGUCACACAGAGUCCCCCAAGGGUGUCACAGAAUGUCCCUCAGGGGUGUCACACAGGGUCCUCAAGGAUGUCGCACAGAGUCCCCAAGGAUGUCGCACACUGUCCCCAAGGGGUGUCACAAGCUGUCCCUCAGGGGUGUCGCACAGGGUCCCCCAAGAAUGUCGCACAGAGUCCCCAGGGGUGUCAUACAGGUCCCGCUCCCCAGGGCUCGAAACAUUUGGCGAAUUCCCCGUCUGUGUUUUGGUGUCUGGGCCGGGAGCGGAGCGGGGAGGGCGGGAUGGAGGAGGAGGAGGAGGAGGAGGGGGAGGAAGAGGAGGGGGAGGGGGCCCAUCUGGAGCACCGAGAGCUGCAGGAUGCGGCGCUGGCGGGGGCUCGGCUGCGCUGGCAGCGCCGGGCGAUCAACCCCCCCCCCCCCCCCCCCCCCCCCCCCCCCCCCCCCCCCCCCCCCCCCCCCCCCCCCCCCCCCCCCCCCCCCCCCCCCCCCCCCCCCCCCCCCCCCCCCCCCCCCCCCCCCCCCCCCCCCCCCCCCCCCCCCCCCCCCCCCCCCCCCCCCCCCCCCCCCCCCCCCCCCCCCCCCCCCCCCCCCCCGGGGGCUCGGCGGCGCUGGCAGCGCCGGGCGAUCAAUACGUGACAAUCCGAGGGAAGGUGACCUUGAGCGGCUCAGCGAGCGGGGAGGAGGGAGGCAGAGCCAGGAAUUCCGCAUGGAAAUGCUCCCCGGGCGAGGGAGGAGGGAUGGAGGGGAGCACAGGGAUGCAGGGGGGCUCUGUGCCCCCCCGGCUGCUCCGGGACAGGAUCCCGCUGCUCCAGGAGCGCUGGGGACAGUCCCCAGGAGGGGUGGCCCUUCCCAGCGAGGACACGAUCAAUAACUGCCCCAAUAAUCAAUAA
This is a long non-coding RNA of Ficedula albicollis (Collared flycatcher), 1701 nucleotides long. NCBI's taxonomy places the organism in Eukaryota, Metazoa, Chordata, Aves, Passeriformes, Muscicapidae. The record is from Ensembl.